This 492-nucleotide ribosomal RNA is filed under the name uncultured bacterium. RNAcentral's name for it is "partial 16S ribosomal RNA". It matches the Rfam family "Bacterial small subunit ribosomal RNA", at positions 29 to 507 of the family's 1533-position model. The record is from RNAcentral.
AGUGAACGCUGGCGGUAGGCCUAACACAUGCAAGUCGAACGGCAGCACAGUAAGAGCUUGCUCUUACGGGUGGCGAGUGGCGGACGGGUGAGGAAUACAUCGGAAUCUUCUUUUUCGUGGGGGCUAACGUAGGGAAACUUACGCUAAUACCGCAUACGACCUACGGGUGAAAGCAGGGGUUCUUCGGACCUUGCGCGAUUGUAUGAGCCGAUGUCGGAUUAGCUAGUUGGCGGGGUAAAGGCCCACCAAGGCGACGAUCCGUAGCUGGUCUGAGAGGAUGAUCAGCCACACUGGAACUGAGACACGGUCCAGACUCCGACGGGAGGCAGCAGUGGGGAAUAUUGGACAAUGGGCGCAAGCCUGAUCCAGCAAUACCGCGUGGGUGAAGAAGGCCUUCGGGUUGUAAAGCCCUUUUGUUGGGAAAGAAAAGCAGCAGGUUAAUACCCCGCUGUUCUGACGGUACCCAAAGAAUAAGCACCGGCUAACUUCGUG